UCCGUGGACACACACACACUAACCCGUUCUGACAUGCAGACAUGCACACUGUGACGCAGAUACGCAGCAGGACGUUACGUACACAUGGGGACACACCCGUCUACAGUCCAGUAAGGAAAAUAAAAGAAUGAGACGUGUGAGCUGAGGGCUGAAGUUAUUCUCCACCAAUCUGGAACAGAGUUCCAUUACAGAGACACACUGCAGCAGACAUUACGGAUCCAUAACCAGCUUCAAGACUUCUAAAGGAUGAAGAACCUUAAACUUCUCAUCCUCUCUCUCUCCAUCUGCCUGUUGCUGGGCAACCUGGGGGUGAGUGGCUACAGUAAUGUCAAACCCUGUCAACGGUCCCGAUGCAAUAACUGCCAUGAAAAGUUCCUAUACCGGCAUGUGCGUCCAAAUAUCCCGCUAACGACGGACCGCAACGCGUGGGAGAAGUAUCUACGUGAACAAAAUGACUGCUCAAGACCCACGCAGUCCUUCCUCCAUCCCAAAGACCGGGAGAGGGUGGACGCGGUCUGCUCCAGCUCUGGGGGAAAGAGGUACCAGGGGAACCUGUGCAUCAGCCAAAGCCCGUUCACAUUUCUAACAGUGAGGAGUGAGACUGGGACCUGCGGUGUGUCCAGUGUGCGGGAAGAGACCAAGCAUUUGAUCCUGGCAUGUGAGGUGCUGGAGAACAGGUGUGUGCCGGUCCACUUCGAGGGGAACCGCGAGGGGAGCAAGCCCGACAAUAACGCUGCAGGAUGUGGCAGCACGGAGAAAGGGAAGGGCUCAAGCUUCAAAGUAUCAGGAAUGUGGCUGGCAUCUUCAUUGAUACUCAUGUUUCUCUCACAACUCCUUUUCUGAACAGUUAAUGGGGAGGAGGGGGUGGGGGGCAGAUAGUCAAACAAUAUAUCAAAAGGAAGUUUGUUUUAAAGUGUCUGUCCUACACUCUAAAAAGAAAAUGUUCCUGGAGUAUCCUUUAGGGGUUCUUCAAAUGUAAUGUGUGGGUAAACCACUAUGAAUUCUUCAAAGAACCCCUUUUAAUGGAUCCUCAGAGAAGCUUUUGAAGAACCUUUGGGGUACAACGACCCCUCUCCCAUUAUUAAUAAAGGUAAUAACAAAAACAACAAUAACACAAUAUUUUAUUGUUCUCAGUGUUUAUUAUGAUUGUAGUGGUAAAAGCAGAAUAAUAAAAUCUAAAUAUGAUGUAAACUCCCAGCAGAGCCCCAAGUCCAGUGGAAGUCCAAUGGAUGUAUAUCCUCUGGUGUGUUGAUGUCAUUGUGUUGAUGUUCUCCGUAUCCAUACCCAGAAUGAGGCGUAUUUCUGUCUGUAAUAAUGCCCUUUUGUGGGGAAAACUCAUUCUAAUUGGCUGGGCCUGGCUCCCCAGUAGGAGGGCCUAUGCCCUCCCUGGCCCACCCAUGGCUGCGCCCCUGCCCAGUCAUGUGAAAUCCAUAGAUUAGGCCUAAUUUAUUUAUUUCAAUUGACAGAUUUCCUUAAUUAACUGUAACUCAGCAAAAUGUUUGAAAUAGUUGCAUGUUGCGUUUAUAUUUUUGUUCCGUAUACUUCCAUAUAUACUUCCAUUCAUUGGUGAGUAGCCCAAACCGUUCUGAAGCUACAGACAGAAGUUGGCAGAUCGGUGGUACCGACUUGCGGGGGUCGUAGAAAACUGAGAACACCAUCAUGUUGGUGAGAGUCUCAUCUUUCCAUAGAAGGGUCGUAUUAGUGUGUUGACCAAACCGUUCGGACGCUACAGACGUUUUUGUGAGAAGAACGAUUUCCGCCAUGUCUCAUGGUCUGACAAACAGUAGCUUGGUCACCUUCCACCACAGAUGCGGAAGGACGCCGUUGGAAGGACGCCAUGAGGUGAAUUGAGACGCAGCCCAUCCAAAAGGCUACAUAUCUCUAGCUUAAAGCUACAAUAUGUAACUUUUUGGGCAACCCAAACAAAUUCACAUAGAAAUAUGAGUUAUGGAUCUUAUAUAGAUCAAUAACUAUAUAGAUCUCUAUAGAUCAAGUCUAAGAAGCGGUAGAUCUGUUCUAUGUGUGCUAUUUUCGCGUCUUUUACUUUCAGUUUUGUACACAAGCAAUAUUUUUGGUUAUUGAAAACAUAUUUCACAGCAGUUUAGGUGGUACUAUGAUUCUCUACACAAUGACUGCUUGUUUUGUCAUAAAAUUCUAAUAGUUUACCUAAUUUCAGUUUAUCAACCAGGAAAUGGCAGAGUGAUUUCUUAAUAGUACAUCUUUAAACAGAGGGAUUUUGAUGGGGAUUUUUUAAAUUAUUCGAAUUAGAUUUCAGCGGGGGGCGCAGACAUCGACUCUAGGGGGUGUAGACUGCCAUGUAUUCAGGUCUGGUCCUGGGCUAUAACGUUUCCCUCACAACAUUUAAAAGACUGCCAUGUAUUCAGGUCUCGUCCUGGACUAUAACGUUUCCCUCACAACAUUUAAAAGACUGCCAUGUAUUCAGGUCUCGUCCUGGACUAUAACGUUUCCCUCACAACAUUUAAAAGACUGCCAUGUAUUCAGGUCUCGUCCUGGACUAUAACGUUUCCCUCACAACAUUUAAAAGACUGCCAUGUAUUCAGGUCUCGUCCUGGACUAUAACGUUUCCCUCACAACAUUUAAAAGACUGACAUUUAUUCAGGUCUCGUCCUGGGCUAUAACGUUUCCCUCACAACAUUUAAAACUGCCAUCUAUUCAGGUCUGACCCUGGGUCUGACCCUGGGCUAUGAUAGCCUGGGUACCUUGUACUCUGUGUCAUAUGCCAAAGAUGUUUAGCAAAAAAAGAGUGGCAAGAUGGGGAAUGAUAACUAAACAGACUGGUACCCGUACCAGACUAGUGCUUUGACGUUUCACACACAACAGUUAAAAGACUGACAUGUUUUGUUCUCUCACGACAUCUAUUCUGAACAGUUGAAAGACUGGUCAUUUGUUUUGUCAUAUGUAUGUUAUGGACGGUGUUGCCUGUUCCUGUGUGUCAGUCAGGGAUCUGUCUAUGGCUGUGGGCCCCAGCCUAAUGUUGGCGUCAGCAUUUCAUUACCUUGUACUUCAUUUGAAAAAGUGUAUUGUAUCAUGCUGAAUAUAUGCACUAUGAAUAAAGGUUGAUUUGGUAGAAUGUU
Molecule: long non-coding RNA, 3095 nt
Organism: Oncorhynchus kisutch (coho salmon)
Lineage: Eukaryota; Metazoa; Chordata; Actinopteri; Salmoniformes; Salmonidae
Exons: 2
Source: RefSeq, a predicted model, not a curated record